UACGUAGGGUGCGAGCGUUGUCCGGAAUUAUUGGGCGUAAAGGGCUCGUAGGCGGUCUGUCGCGUCGGGAGUGAAAACUCAGGGCUUAACCCUGAGCCUGCUUCCGAUACGGGCAGACUAGAGGUAUGCAGGGGAGAACGGAAUUCCUGGUGUAGCGGUGGAAUGCGCAGAUAUCAGGAGGAACACCGGUGGCGAAGGCGGUUCUCUGGGCAUUACCUGACGCUGAGGAGCGAAAGUGUGGGGAGUGAACAGG
This 253-nucleotide ribosomal RNA is filed under the name uncultured bacterium. RNAcentral describes it as "partial 16S ribosomal RNA". It matches the Rfam family "Bacterial small subunit ribosomal RNA", at positions 524 to 776 of the family's 1533-position model. The record is from RNAcentral.